UUGUGACAGGCGUAGGGGUGUUUUUUUAUCACCAGAACGCGAAUGUUGGGCGCCAAUAUCAAUACGAAGCAUUUGGGCAUUGUACAGAUUAACUGUGGAAGAAAUGGGAGGGCGACCCCACUGAAGUCUUCAAAUUGUUGGUUACAUGUAGACUAUGGUAGACUAUAGUAGAUGCGCGAUGGGGCUUUUUUUAGGCUUUCAUCGUCCCAGGGGCCCUCCCUACAGAACUCCAGAGUUAAAAUGAUAAAGCCAUGCCCAUCCGCAGCAACUUGAUACAACCACUCUGCCAAAAAUAAUAACGUAACAGACAGGAACAAAGCGAAAGGAGAAUACAGGGAUUUGAGGCUAGAUGGGAGGAGAAAAGAGAGAGAGAGAGAGAGAGAGAGAGAGAGAGUGUGUGUGUGUGUGUAUGUGUAUGUGAAGAACAAAACAGACAAGAAACAACAUGACACCAGAAAAUAAAUCCAGAUUAAACCAACUCCGUCGCUCCUCUCUUUUCAGUUAGUUACCCCUGAGAAUCCACCCUUGAAAGCACAAUGGAACCCAAGGCCCCAAAUUUUCAGCCUUGUAAGCAAAUGGUCGAGUUAAUCAUCAUUAUCAACCUCCCGGAACCUUGCUUGUAGGGG
Molecule: small RNA, 626 nt
Filed under: Histoplasma ohiense
Lineage: Eukaryota; Fungi; Ascomycota; Eurotiomycetes; Onygenales; Ajellomycetaceae
Description: hypothetical lncRNA
Source: RNAcentral